UUAGCCUACGGGGGCAGCAGUGGGGAAUGUUGCACAAUGGGGGAAACCCUGAUGCAGCGACGCCGCGUGAAGGAAGAAGGCCUUCGGGUUGUAAACUUCUGUCUUCAGGGACGAUAAUGACGGUACCUGAGGAGGAAGCUCCGGCUAACUACGUGCCAGCAGCCGCGGUAAUACGUAGGGAGCGAGCGUUGUCCGGAAUUACUGGGUGUAAAGGGAGCGUAGGCGGGAUUGCAAGUUGAAUGUGAAAUCUAUGGGCUUAACCCAUAAACUGCGUUCAAAACUGCAGUUCUUGAGUGAAGUAGAGG
RNAcentral lists this ribosomal RNA (305 nucleotides) under uncultured bacterium. RNAcentral describes it as "bacterial SSU rRNA". It matches the Rfam family "Bacterial small subunit ribosomal RNA", at positions 333 to 657 of the family's 1533-position model. The record is from RNAcentral.